Long non-coding RNA from Ctenopharyngodon idella (grass carp), 925 nucleotides. RefSeq lists it as uncharacterized. The record is from RefSeq and is a predicted model, not a curated record. The transcript is spliced from 4 exons. NCBI's taxonomy places the organism in Eukaryota, Metazoa, Chordata, Actinopteri, Cypriniformes, Xenocyprididae.
UCAGUCGUCAUAGCGAACCCUUGACGUCGCAGAUCCAGUGGCCAGCUGUUACUAAUCUCGUCACUCCCUUUGCCAGCUGAUCGCAGACGCCGGUAAACGUGAGAGACGAAAACGGAGGAAUCACUUCACUAGCGAGAUGAACAAAAAUCAUACAGGUUUCAAAAGACAUGGGCCUUACCUUGUCCUCUGGCCUCCACCCCAAAUGCCUGCUGAUUCAUGUCUGCGUGUCUGCGCCGGCUUGCUGGAUGGGGGAUGGUGGAAUGAACGAGGGACACAGAGUACUGAGAAAGAAUGGUAGAUGAUUACCAAACACAGUUCGGGGAGGGAAGCACGACAGAAAGUUCGUAGUGGAUGCUGAUGAAUGAAUAUUGGCUGACCGACCACAGUUCUUCUCUGGCAAACUUUAUGACCCUGUCCUGACGCUAAAGCUGCCAGCUGAAGAACUGUUGUGGUCAGCUCUACCCAUCUGAGAGUGCUGUGGAUCUUAUUCACUCUGUAUCAUCUCUGUUGUAGAUCUUGGACGAUGGAUGAUAUUUUAAAUUUCACAUUUUAAUUAUUGAAGCAAAUUUUUUUUGAGAAAAUAUUUCUUAGUCAUUUUUAAAUAUUUUAUAAAUUAACAAUUUAUCAAGCACUUUAAUAUGUUUGAACUUCAGGGUGAUUUUUUUUUUUUUUCUUUUAGAUCUGUAUCUAAAAUUUAAAUUUAUGGUCAUGAAAAUAUGAAUAGAAAUUUGUGAACUUUUUUUUAUCAAAUAUAUAUAAUAUCAAACUACCUGAUAAAUGAGUUGUAUAAUAUAUAUUUGAAGUAUGCAGGAUAUUUUGCAUGGCAGACAUAAUUUUCUGUACGUUUAGCCACAACAGCUGCUGGCUCCUGGUAUAAAACUAAAGGGGAAACUUGCAUGUGUCCAAUAAAAGUAUACUGCAAAUC